UGCCCUCCUGAUUAAAUGGAAGACAACUGAAUGAACAUUUAUCUAAUACACUGAUCCCACAUUCAUUGUUCUACCUCCCUAGUUACUGUUGCUACAAGCUAAAAUGUGUUUUUGAUAUACAGCAUGGAACAGACAACUCAAUGAGCAUUUAUCUAAUACACUCAUCCCACAUUCAUUGUUCUACCUCCCUAGUUACUGUUGCUACAUCGGACAAGCUAAACUGUGUUUUUGAUAUACAGCAUGGAACAGACACCGAGUCCUGAAAAUUGUAAAUGUCUGUCUUAGAAUCAAUGCAUUCUAAAGAGAUAACAACCUAAAAGAAUAACGAAUCAUUACAAAUUGCUUUGGCCCCCAAACCAGGGUUCAAUGGGAAUUGCUACAAGGAGAAGGAGACUAUACAAAUGAGAAGGUUCUCUGUUUUCCUCCCUUCACAAAAACCAACUCCUAAAUUCCAAUUUGAUCAUGGAACAUAGGGCUACAGGAGCAUCUUUUUGUGGACUUUUGUCCUUGGCAACAUUCCCAACUUCUUUUGAAGAAGACUCACACUCUGUACCUUUACUCACUGGUGAAGUAGUGGACAAAUCUUUUGGUUCAACCCAAUGGAGAUUUUCAAUC
This 615-nucleotide long non-coding RNA is filed under the name Actinia tenebrosa (Australian red waratah sea anemone). Its description in RNAcentral is "uncharacterized LOC116306835, transcript variant X5". The record is from RNAcentral. Lineage: Eukaryota; Metazoa; Cnidaria; Anthozoa; Actiniaria; Actiniidae.